AAGAAGUGACGUUUGGUCGGUUUGGGUCGUUGCUCCCGGUCGGCUGCUCCUUCUUCUGCACCACCGGCAUAUGUUGAUCCAGAAGUUCUUACGGCUCAGCUGAAGGACAAGGAUGAUCGGAUAUCUGCGUUGGAGACCCAGAUGGCAGCUCAACAGGCGGGCUAUGAGACCCAGAAGAGGCUGAACGAACAGAUGAUGGAGAUGAUGAAGAGGAUGUAUCCGAACGACGUGUUCCCGAACAUUCCAGACCAGUAGUUUUUUUUUUUUUUACCAAAAACUCUGAAUGUUUUAUUUAAAUUUGAAUAUUAUCUACUAUGUUUUAAUGUUUUAUGUUUUAUUCAAUUUUAAUUUUAAUUUUAAAUUUUUGAAUUUAAAUUUUAUUUAAAUUUUUUAAAAAAAUUUUUUUUUAAAAAAAUAAAUUUUUUCAAAAUUCCGAGGGAAAGGAGUUCCUCGGAAAAUUCCGACGAACGUUAAGUUCCUCGGAAUUUUCCGAGGGAAGACUGUUCCUCGGAAUUUUUCCGAGGGCUCGACGUUCCUCGGAAAUUUCCGAGGGAAAAGCCUUCCUCGGAAAAUUCUGAGGGAAGAAAUUUCCUCGGAAUUUUCCGAUAAACAUUCCGAGGAAUAUUUCGUCGAAACUUCCGAGGAUUGGACCAUCGGAAUUUCCUCAGUAUAUUCCGAAGAACCUUCCGACGAACAUUGUGUCCUCGGACUUUAAUUUCCUCGGAAUUUGUUUUCCUCGGAAUUCCGUCGGAAAUUUCCGACGGAAUUCCGAGGAUGUAUGAAUUUCCGAGGAGAUAUUUCCGAAGACUUUUUUCGUCGGUAUGUCCUCGGAAUAGCGUUAUUCCGACGAUAUACCGACGAUUUUUUCCCUCAGUGUCCCGAUGUUUUCUUGUAGUGAACAUAAUAUAAAUUACAUAUUAUUAUAUUUACAAAACAUAUUUUAAAAUAUUUAUGGUGAUCGUAUUAUUUCGUGUUUAUAAUUGACGUUUGUAUCAUAUAUUCGUCAUAAUAUAUUAGUUAUAUUAAAAUGUUUAUUAUAUACUAAAUAAUAAUAUGCAAAAAAUUACUGAUUUACAGUGACAACAUCUAUAUUACUCUACUGAAUUAAAUAUUUUUACACAAUUUUAGAAGCUUUCUAUUAACAAUAUGUAAUAUAGAUUCUUAAAUGAUUUUCUAAACGCUAGAAAAAAUUACCAACAAAAAACAAUUGAGAUUAUAAUUGUAAUUUGGGCUGUAGAUAAAUAUUAUUUUGAUUUGUGGUAAAAUAAUAUAUGAUGAAUAAAAGGUCCAUCAGGGUCCUGUUAUUUUUUUUCUGAGAACAAACAGAUCAGUUAAUGGUUCAAACGCAUGACUAUACAUGUUUAGUAUCAUGAUGUUGUUUCGAACUCAGGUCACUUAACUUCUCAAACUCCGCCUACCACUGGACCAUCAUAUCUGAUUAAACAUUUGUGUAUUUAAUAAUAACAAAUACUUGAAUCGAUUCUACAUAUCUAUCUUUUUUGUGCACAUUACAUAUCUAUCAUUUUGUUAUAUUAUAUACAUAUCUAUCAUUUUGUUAUAUUAUAUAUUUAUAUAUACGACAUAUUCCAUUGCCCGUACCAAAUACACUACGAUUAAGUUAAACAGUAAUCGGAGUGUAUCUGUAACAAUCCGUUCUGUGGAACCCGACUGGCUCUGCAGAGCAUCGACCCUAACUCUCACAUGUGAGUCCCUCGUAGUUAUACAUAUAGGUUAUUGGUGCACUUGACGUUCCUCUAACCCAAGACUUUACCUUUUAACAACCCUUCUACAGGACUAAUUGAUCUGCAAUUCAAUUGGUGACAGCUUGUCAUGUGGGAGGAUUGUUAAAUGGUGAAGGUGGGUUCGAGAAACGCCGUGCGCACCAAUAACAUAUAUGUAUGACUGUGAGAGGUUCACAUGUAAAAGAUUAGGGUCGAUACUCUGUAGGGCCAGCAGAUAUCCGCAUGUUGGAUUGUUACAGUAUCAUACCCCAUUGAGUAUUGAAUCUGAAUACGUAUAACUAAUGUGUAUAUACAAUAGUACCAAAUAACAAUACCCACACGUAUGUAAAGUAAAGGGGGUUAAAAACCAAUAGCGUUUCAUGGUUUUUAGGGUGUAAAUAGCGUUUCUUGUUACCAAAUGAACUGACGUCAUUUCAGGAAACAUGCCUAUCUUUGUUGUCUCCAUGAAACAAUUGGUUUUACUCUUUUACUUCAACUUCUUCUCUCGCCUUCUCCUCUUUGAUAUCCUUUGAUUUUAGUAUUAUUUAAAUAAGGGUGAACGAUCUAUUUCUCCACGAGAAUUAUCGUAUAGCAUCAGAUCUCCACCAAACUAUGAUUUCGUGUUAAAACUCCAUGAAUUUAAAGUUGUUAACUUAUUUCUCUCCAAAUUAUAAUUUGUAAAUUGAUUUCUCCCCAAAUUUAUAGUUUGAAACUUAAUUGUCCAUAGACCAUGGUUUUAAUCGGUUUACUAUUAACCCACCAAUUUUAAACUAAUUAAACCCAAAAAAACUUUAUUUUUAAUUUUAUUUUUUUAAAACGAUUCAUCAUCAAAAAAUUGUUUGUCUAAAUCGUGUCCAUAUCUCUCUCAACACCGAUCAGACAUAGCUUCCGAGCAACACCAACGACUUCUUAAUUUUGCUUAGUCUCACAGUCACCACUCGCCCUCCUCCCUCCACAAUUUGCGAGGAAUAACUCACAUGUAGCAGUUCACCACUUAUCCACCGCCUUCAAACUCACCUCCUCCCACAGUUCAGAGAAGCUUAAAAAAAUAGUGAUGCUUUGUUUAGAAAACACAAGUACAUAGCUUUAAUACGUGUGAUUGAGAUCGAAGGAGAAUGUACAAAUGUUGAUAAAAAAAAAUUCUGGGAAUUACUUUUUUUUUUGGUGUGUGAAUCAGUUUUUUUUUUAAAUAAAAAAUUAGUUCGAGAUUUUCAUUAGUUUAAUUGGUCGGUUAAUAGUUAACCGAUUAAAACCAUAGUUUAUGAAUAAUUAAGUUUCGAACUAUCGGUUUGGGGAGAAAUCUAACCUAUAUUAAAAGGGAUAUAUGAGCAUCAGCCAGCCUAUCCACGUAGGAUUAAAAAUUCAAGCCAAUCAGAUUGUGCUAAGAUGCCAUGUCACCUUAGUAAAAAAAAAACCUAACUUUACGAUGGCCAUUCCUUCUUCUUCUUGACGCCUUUCCAGUGUCUCUAUCCAACUUCUCAGCAGUUCCAAGUUUUCUUCCAUGAUCUGCCAUUAAUUUGUCCUAUUAUUGCUUUUUCAAAACAAUAGUAUUAACAUCACGAAACUGAUUGGUUGUAUCCAAUAAUAUAAUUUUUUUCAAAAAAAAGUUCUAUUGAGGGCAACCAAAACUCGGCUUCUGUCGAUCUCAGAGAUCCAACCCGAAAAGCUGCAGAUAGAUUUCAAGCAAAGAUUCACUGAUAUCUUCCUAGCUUGCUCUUCCACCUCUUCUGGUACGUAUUUCCUGCUUUCCAAUUUCUUCAUUGCGGUUAUUUCUCCACCUUGACCAAUUGUGAUCACGUUAAAUAGGUUGAUUUGGAAAGGGAUCCCGCUGGUAUUGAGGCAAAAGGUCUGCCAACAAAGUCACGCUCGCAACACAGCGAUAGAGAAAUUGGAGUUUGAUCUUAUCCAAAGUCUCAUAUUUUAUUGUUCUUCAGGAAGAUUGAUUUACAGUAUUUGAUUUUCACUUAAUUUUCUUGGUUAUACUGGUAUUGUUUUUAGUUGGUUCUAAGCUCUGUUUCAUGUUGUAAUUAAUUUUCUGUAUUCUUAAAAGCGUUAGAAAGAAAAAGUGUUAUUUUUAGCUGCUAGAGCUUCAAGAACAGAGAAUUAAAUAUGGUUAGAAUACUUUCUGAACCUAAAGAGGCAAGAGUUGGUAUUAGAGAGAUUCAUUACUUCCAAUUCAAUCCAGUCCACUUAUAUCUAUAGUAAUGGAGACUGGCACUGAGUAAGCAAAAAGAGCUUCAGAAAAGGUACCUACGAACUGAUUUUGUUUCACUGCACUUUAAAUUUUAGUAUUGUAUUUUUUCUUCAAUGAUUUAACCUGUAAAACCUUUUACUUUUGCUGAUAUUCAGAUUCUUGAUCUGUGCAAGUGGAACACAAGAGCUGAUCUGAGGAACAGAGUCCACUUAGCAUUCGAUAAGUACACUGAGCCUGGACUGAGGUCAUUAGCUGUUGCAAGAUGGCUCUACGUGGGAAAACCAAAAAUAAGCUCUGGUGGUCCAUGUGAAUUCAUUGGUGUGUUACGUUUGUUUGGUCCUCCGAAACAUGAUAGUGCAUACACCAUUAGAAGAGCUUCAGACCUCGGUGUCAACAUCCAGAUGAUCACUGGUUACUAUCUGUGUAUUUACUUCUCACUUUGGCUUUAAUCUUAUGGUGUAUUGGUUUUCUUAUAAGUGACAAACUUGCUAUUUCCAGUUAGACUUGAUGUAUGCUCAGUAUGGGAUCAAAAAUGUAUCCAUAUCAGCAUCAGCUUCUCUACUUAGCAAUCACAAAGACGAAAGCCUAGCUGCUGUUACUGUUGAACAGUUGAUGGCCAACAUCACAGCACUAUUUCAUAAAGAUAUGUUAACACAGUUGACAAGACCCAGUGCGUAUAAUUUCAUAAAGAUAUGUUAACCACAUGUCUACAAGUACUCUAAGUGUAUAAUAUUUUUUUAUCAAUGAGUAUAAUUUCAUUAUCUUUUUAUCCUCCCUUACUAUUGUAUCCUUCUUUGGUUUUGCUUUCAGAUUCAUCCAGCAAAAGCUAGGAGGUCCUUCAGUUUCUGAUUACAAGAAGCUUCAAUCCGAGAAGUCUGAUCUUCAAAUAAAGUACUAUGAGGUUUUUGCUAAACAUCACGGAACGUUGAGAGAGGUAUCCCGUCCUAACUUGAAUAUAAAAGUUUAUUGGUACACCAUAUAUAGUUGAUUUGCACAUGAUUACAUGCUUAUGUAGUUCCUUAUAGUGGCUCUACAAUAACUUUCUCCACCACCCAUAAUCUUAAACAUAUUGAUUCAUCUUUGAUAAACUGAAACUACUUGGGACCAAUGAUAUCGAGUAGCUAACUCUCUCUGUAGCUAAGAUUUUUCAUGAUUAUUAUUGAUAGGAGCCCAUAAAAAAAUGUUUAAAUGUGUUUGGCAUAUUAUGUGUGUGAUUAAUGUUGCAGUUAGAUGGGAGUGAAAAGCUUGCAUUCCCGACCAGCAAUUCAUUAGCCAAGUGAUGAUUAUGUUGUGAGAGAGGAAGUCACAACUCAGGGUUGAAGUUUUCCAGGAGAUCAAAACUCUGCCUCUCUAUGGUGACAGAGUAAAGCUUCAGCUCAUUCUUGCUGAUCUUCUGCGCAACAUUGUGAAUCAUGUCCCGUUUCCAGAUAGUUGGGUAGGAAUCAAGAUCUCAUCAAGCCACAAGCUUGCACACGAAAAUGAUCAUAUAUCCAUCUCCAGUUCAGGAUGAUACAUCCUGGAAAUGAUUUCUUUCAGAGAUACUAAGUGAUAUGUUUGAGACAUGAGAUGGAUGGGUCAUGCCUGAUGGCUUAUGACUUAAGCAGAUGGAUGGUAGUGUGAGUUAUGUUAGAGAAGACGAACGUUGUUUCUUUCAAGUGAAUCUUCAAGUUAAGACAAGGUUAGGUGUUGAGACCAUAUGAACAGAGGCUGGUUCAAGCAUACAAUAGAGAUUCUGAGUUACAAAGACAUAUAUAAAAUUUGACGAUGGAUUUAGAACUAUGGAUUUAACUUUUACUUAUUUUAGCGUUAAACCCAUUAUGGCCCAACAAAAUAUUGAACAUAAAUUUUGUUUCUCUUUUUCCAAACAACAUAGAACUUUAUUGAUCUUUAAAAACACAAAUUCAUAUUACAAUUUUGGAAUAACCAGACAAAAACAAUACCAAUAGACAAAAUUUUCGAAAAACAUAUUAUUACAUAAGUUUAUAUAUGUGCCUUUUACUGAAGUCGAUAGAACAAGUGAAUUUGACGAUGCUUCACAAAAUUAAAACUUAUUAUAAACAGCUACAACUAAACAAAUAAAUCACUCCACAAUAUUUGCUAUUACUUUAUCAAAGUAUUACAAUAAGGCAGACUCUAUUCUUAUACCUCCCCUAUAAUUCAAACAAAAAUACUAAAAACUAAAAUCAGCUAACUUAUAUCUCCCAUUAAGGGAUCCAUCGCAGCAACAUAUACAGAAACCUCCGGAAUACUCAUCGCGACACACACUGCAUAAUUGUUUCAAAAGUCUGUGUAAUUUCACUCAUUUCUUACUGCAACGCCAAAAUUUCAUGCAAACCUUUUAACUUGACGUCUAAGGAACCGUUUCUCUCUAAUCCCAGCUUUCACCGAUUGUUAGGAAAUUACAUGAAUCAUUGUCAACAACCCCGCACUUGAAAAAAUAUGUUGGCCAUCAACUUUCUCAUUUUCACAGUAUCAAAUCAAUAUUGUAUAGCCGUAAAUUAAUUAUACAAAUGGAAUUAUUUAUCAUUUGAAAUAAACAAUGCAAAAAGCAUGUAUAUAUGUCAGUUUGUAUUUUUGUAGAGAGGGCAGAAAUUGAAAAUGUAAAAUCAAUAAUUCUAAAUACAGAAAAAAAGUUUUAAAUUAAAUAUAGAUUUAAAAAAAAAUUUAUAUGAAACAAAAGAUUUUAGCUGAAACUUAAGAAUAUUGACUAUUCAUCACUUUCUGUUAAUUUUAAUAACAAAUAAAAAUCAAAUUAGAGUGUGGGGUUGAUUGGUUGUUCUGUAGUUUUUGUUUUUGUUUUUGCUUUUACUUUAGAAAAUAAGCUGUGAAUUGUUUUGCUUCGGCUUUAAUUGUUUUGCUAUAUAUUUAUUUUCAAAGCAUAAAAUCUUUAGAAAAGUUGAUUUUGAAAACUAAUAUAUUUUUUUAAAAACUUUAUACUGUAUCUUUAAUUUUAAAAGCUAAAAUAUGAUUGUUUGAAAAAAAAAUAGAAAAAAAUGGAUGUCUAAAACAUUUACCACCAUUACCAAUCAACCCCUGAGUUUAUUUAUUUCAAAUUUGUUGGACAACAUGAUAAAUUAAUUUGCAUAUUAUUACUUAUAUUUUUGGUAGUCAAUUUUGAAAUAAUAUAUAUACAUGCUUUUAUAAAAAAUAAACAAGCUAAAAUUAAUUAAAAAUUAUAACAAGAAAUUUAUCCGGGCGUAGCCCGGACAAAGACUCUAGUCAAUUUACAACUUAUAAUCAUGAGAGAAAUAAGUUUACAACUUUAAAUUCAUGGAGUUUUAGCACGAAAUCAUAGUUUGGUGGAAAUCUGAUGCUAUACGAUAGUUCUUGUAGGGAAAUAGAUCGUUCACCCUUUAAAUAACUAUAGUAUCUUUAGCAUAAUCGAGACUAAUUAAAUUUAACAGUAAUCAGAGUGUUUGUGGCGACUUCACUCAUACACGCAUGCAAUACGCGUUAUUACCAUUUGCAUAGUUAUAAAAUGGAUUAGGGACCACUUAAAUAGCCAUUAUUGUAUCGAAUGUGUCGUUUAUAUGGUUCAUACGUUCCCCUAAACAUUUGCUAAUCUGGUUAACAACAAAAGUGAGGUUUUGAUAUGUCUUUAUGAUUUUAAAAAGAACACUUGCGAGGCAUCUACAUUAUCUGUAAUUUAUGAAAUUACUGGAAGUAUAAUUAAUAUCCUAUAAAUUAGGAAAAGAAACGUACUAAUGUACCUUACCAUACACACAUGAUCAAUUCGUCAGCAAAUAUAGUAUACAUGAUCAAAAAAUUAUAAUUAUAUAUUAAAAUAAUUAAAUUUAAUUUAUCAUUUUAAAAGAAUCGUUUAACGUUAUAUAUAAAUAAACUAGGCAAGAUUCUUAGUAUUGUUUAAUAUAUUUAUUAAUCGAUUCUAAAAAUAUUUGGGCACAAAAGCGAAGCUAUUUAAUUGGGAGGGAUCAUUUAACUUCUAAAACGUUUUCAAUUUUUCAUUUGUAUGCUUAAUUAUCUGGUAAAUGAUUUGGUCUGGAAUACUGAAAAUGAAACAACUGACCAAGAUUCAGUGCCGUCCCAAACAUUUUGGUGGCCUGAAGCAUUUUUUUCAAAUGUAACCCUAAUAAAUUUUUAUUUGUUAAAAACACAUCUUCUAAUUCCCAUUCAGUCUCUUUUGUGACAUAUAGUAAAUCGUAAAUAUUUUUAUCAACUUCAACUUUAAAAAAAAAAUUCUGCAGAAGCAACCUAAAUUGGAAUUGCUAACAUAUUUGAUAAACAAUCCAUGAAUUAUAAUAAAAUCUCCCAUUACUUUCAUAGAGUUCAAUAUUUCAGCAACUCUUUUAACUUCUGCUUGUAGUGCCAUUUUUAGAAAUUCGAUCUCCGAACAGAAAUAAUUUCAUAAAUACCACCCGCCAACAACCAUUGUUAUUCUAAAAUUCAAUUCAAAAGGACUUUAUAACUAAUUAUUAAUCAACUUGUUAACAAGAUUUAAGAUUUUUCCAUACUAAGUAAAGAAAUAAAGAAGAAGAUUAAAUUUUUUAAAAAAAUAUGAAGGAAGAAAUAAAGAAGAAGAUUUGUUAACAAGUAUUCGUGGUUUUAUAUCAAGCUAAAUAAAAUGAAAAGUACUGUACAUAAAAUAGAAGAUGUGGUCUAAUUUUAUUAAAAAAAAAUUGU
This is a long non-coding RNA of Brassica rapa (field mustard), 8556 nucleotides long. RefSeq lists it as uncharacterized. The record is from RefSeq and is a predicted model, not a curated record. NCBI's taxonomy places the organism in Eukaryota, Viridiplantae, Streptophyta, Magnoliopsida, Brassicales, Brassicaceae.